This 433-nucleotide ribosomal RNA is filed under the name uncultured bacterium. RNAcentral's name for it is "partial 16S ribosomal RNA". It matches the Rfam family "Bacterial small subunit ribosomal RNA", at positions 29 to 507 of the family's 1533-position model. The record is from RNAcentral.
AACGAACGCUGGCGGCAUGCCUAACACAUGCAAGUCGAACGAAACCUUUAGGUCUUGUGUCGCUCGGCUGCGUACUGCGUGUUAACCUGCCCUUAGUUUCGGAUUAAUUCCCCGCAUGGGGUGGUAAUAUCGGUUAUUGUCUUCGUACCAAAGAUGUAUCGCUUUUGGUUGUGCCCGCGUUGGAUUUUCUAGUUUGUAGUGUAAAAGCCUACCAAGGCGACUACCCAUAGCUGGUCUGUGAGGAUGAUCAGCAACACUGGGACUGAGACACGGACCAGACUCCUACGGGAGGAAGAAGUGGGGAAUAUUGGACAAUGGGCGAAAGACUGAGCCAGCAAUGCCGCGUGAGUGAUGAAGGACUUAGGGUUGUAAAGCUCUUUUAACAGGGAUGAUAAUGACAGUACCGGGAGAAUAAGCGCCGGCUAACUCCGUG